UACGGAGGGUGCAAGCGUUGUCCGGAAUCAUUGGGCGUAAAGAGCGUGUAGGCGGCCCGGUAAGUCCGCUGUGAAAGUCCAGGGCUCAACCCUGGGAUGCCGGUGGAUACUGUCGGGCUCGAGUCCGGAAGAGGAGUGUGGAAUUCCUGGUGUAGCGGUGAAAUGCGCAGAUAUCAGGAGGAACACCAAUGGCGAAGGCAGCACUCUGGGACGUGACUGACGCUGAGACGCGAAAGCGUGGGAGCAAACAGG
This 252-nucleotide ribosomal RNA is filed under the name uncultured bacterium. RNAcentral describes it as "partial 16S ribosomal RNA". It matches the Rfam family "Bacterial small subunit ribosomal RNA", at positions 524 to 776 of the family's 1533-position model. The record is from RNAcentral.